Panicum virgatum (switchgrass) is the source of this 1656-nucleotide RNA transcript. RefSeq lists it as uncharacterized. The record is from RefSeq and is a predicted model, not a curated record. NCBI's taxonomy places the organism in Eukaryota, Viridiplantae, Streptophyta, Magnoliopsida, Poales, Poaceae. The transcript has 2 exons.
CCGCUGUCCCGCGCGCGGUCGCCGUCACGCUAGUAACUGGUACUCCCUCUAUUUUUUUUAUAUGACGUUGUAGUUCAGAUGCAGAACAUGUUUUUUAUAUGACGUUGUAGUUCAAUUUUUUUUUGCGAAAUCCAUUAUUGCCCCUGGCAUCUUCCUCCCGUUCCCCUCUUCUCUGUCCCGCCGCCGUCCGCGUUUCCCCGCCAUCGUCGUCGGGUCCCCGCUCCUGGCUCCUGCGCGCUGCUGCCGGCCUCGCCCUCACCUCCCUCCUCUCGCUAGCCCCUGCUCUUCCUCCCCAACUCGCUGUUGUACGUUGUGUCCUCCCAGAUCGCGAUGGCGCAGCCCCUGCCUCGGACUCCCUCCCCCUCUGCCCUGGACUCCCUCCCCCUGCCUCGGACUUCUCUGUCGAGUUGAAGCCCCUCUCGGCCGCAGCUCCUUCCGUCGCAGCCCUCGUGCCACAUCCGAGCAGGGCGACAAGGCCGCCCGUGCGCUCCUCGUCGGGCGGCAUGGAGAUCAAGAUCAGCUUCACCGGACUAGACUCCUUUGCCGCUACCCAGUCCAAGCCUCAUCGCGCCGCCGGUACCCCAGCAUUGCGCCAGCAUCAUCCCGGGGAUCCAUCUUCUCAAUCCUUGAGGAUGGGCUAAAUGACAAAGAAGAGGAAAUACAAAGGAUCAGGGAAAGAAACCGUGCUUAUCAACGACGCUUUUUAUAUGUGCGCAGCCUACCUCAUGAUCCCAUGUUACCAGGUUUCUUUGAUCAUGUCUUCAUCGACAAAAGUUGUUACCGCAUUACUAGAAAGAACACUCAAGAUGUCCUGAUUUUGACAGCCAUUGCUCGGUCGAGAUUUGACUCUGAUGGCAGAUGCACCUUUGAUGGAAAGAUUGGUUGCUUUCCUUUGGUAAAAUAUGAAGUAGCCAAGAGGUCGAAUGCCAACCGGCCUGCGGGGAUGAUAGAGAUGAAACCCAUCAACCCGGUAAAAGAGGAGGUCAUUCGAGAUUUGAUGAUUCAAAAGGUUUUACCGGCGAUUCGUGCGAAGUGGCCGCUUGAAGAUGCGAGCAAGCCUAUAUUCAUACAAGAUAAUGGAAGACCUCAUUUAGCGCCCAAUGAUAAGCUAUUAUGGGAUGCUGCUAAGCAAGAUGGGUUCGACAUGAGACUUGUAUGUCAGCCAGUAAAUUCACCCAACUGCAAUAUUAUCCAUGGAUUAGGCUUGUUUAACUCUAUGCAGUCAAUUCAGUACAAAACAGUAGAAGAUCUUGUAGCUGACGUUCAUCAAGAUUUUGAAGGCUAUUCAGUAGACCAUGCAAAUGAAUAUUUACUGAGGCUCCAUGGAUGUAUGAAGAGAAAAAUGAAAGAUAAGGGUGUCUCCUUUGCAACUGAAAUGUAAAGGCUCAAAUCAUGCAUGCUUCUAUGGUGCAGAUCGAGAAAUAAAUAUUGUAGAAUUAAUUUAUGAUGUAAUUUCUUCUUCAUCUAUUUUGUAAUUAAUGUGAUGAAUGUGCUUAGUUGACAACUUCUGGUGAAUUUUGUUAUUUAUAGGCUGGUCAGAUUUGCAUAAUGGCCUAAAGAAUUCUAUGAAAGAGAUUCUUGGUUGCUCUCAUGCUCUGUACUGUGAUUCUUGGUUGAUGAUGGUGUUUCAAAGUAAUUUAUGAAUAAAUCUUUUCU